GGGACGCAUCGAAGCCACUGAGCCUGCUUCUUUCACAGUCAAAGAGGAUAACAAUCUGUCUCUUGUUGAAUACGAACUGAUUAACGUUACUGAUCAGUGAAUGUCGUUUAGUAUCUUUACAAUGAGGCUAGUAUUUGGUUCUGAUUCUUCUAUCGUUAAUGUCUUUUGAUUUAGAUGAUGAAGCUUUUGUAUUACUGGUUCAGAUAUGCUUUCUUUUUUUUACCUUAAAACAUGAUCCCAGAAUCUCGCUUAUUGAUCGAGGCAAUGGCAAUGGUAUUGUUCCCUUGAAUCUGUUGAUGUUGUGUUAAAAACCAUUGAGAGCUUUCUAAUGCUCCCCAAUCUUUGAAGUCAAACAAAGAACUUCACGAAAGAGAUAUGAACCUGAAAUGGGCAUAACUUAUAAUAGCAUAGAGAGUCUUACAACACAGCAAAAAUGUUCCACGUUCCUAUCACAAGCCCCUCGUGUUUCAAUACCAACAAAGGAAACAAGAACAAAACGAGAUAGAAAACUAGACUCACUCCACUUCUUUGAUGAUCCUUCUUGUCCGAUGAGAUUCAGUGACAACUGUUCCUGGGGCACUAUGAGCUUUCCUACGCUCAUCUUUCCUUCUCUUCGCAUCGUUCAUAGCUCUGCUUUCCGCUUUUGCUUUGUAUAUAGGUUUCGGCAAGUGCCUGUGUCUGUAAUUUCACAUCAACCAAAAACGUUAAUGUUUUAGUCUUUUGACAAAAUCUCCAAAGUUGGAAGCCAUUUUUAUCUAUGAUCAUGUACCUGACAAUACGCUUGAUCUCAGGAAGAUGCUUGUACCGAUUCUUCACCGCCUCAUUGUACUCAUGCUUCUUCUGCUCCCUUGGAAGAAUCUGCAACCACCAAUCAACAUAUGAGAAUUUGCCAUUUUCAUUUUGUUUAAAAGAAGCUUAAUGCUAUAUAACAUUAAAAAAGGCACAGAUUCUUACAACUCCUAGUUGCUCUGAUGCUUUGGCCUUCCAUAGCCUGAGAUUAGUGUCAUCACUGCCGGAUAUAACAUAGGUAGCAUCACUGCUAUACUUGACACAGAAUACUCUACAAGAGACAAGUAAGUAAACAAACGCAUUAAUAUAUUAAAAACGUUUACAAUUAAGUUUCACCAGGGUACCUCUGCAUCCUCUUCGUAUGGUAGAUUUCCCUGCUGUGUCCUCCAUUGUAUGGGAAGAUUCUCACGGAUCGAUCAUAAGAACCGGUAACGAACUCACGACCAGUUGGUGAAAAAUCAAUAUCCAUCCUGGAAAAGAUGAUUAAAAUUGAUAAAUCAUAAUGCAUUAUGAUAAUCACACGUUGAAUACUUGACCGGGGGUUUUAUCAUUCUUACACAGCAGAAACAUGAUCUUUAUGCACGCACUUGGCUUCUUCAUUCUUUCUACCAUCAAAGCUAUAGCAGUUGCCAUCUUCAUUUGCCUAUUCAGUUUCAUCAAUUAAGACAUAAGCCAAGGACAAAUGCUUAGAGAAAUUUUCGUUCUAUGAUCAUCACUUACAGCUGUGAAGUUCAUAGGCUCCAUAGGGUUCCAUGCGAUUGAAUUUGUUUUGGUCUGCCAAAGGAGAAGCAAUUUUUUAAGUUUGAAGAGUAAAAAAAGGAAACAGGGCGGCCAAAGAAGCGGCAAGUGUUUCAAUAAAAAGUGUCCUUUCCAGGUUAUACGACAACUGCAGCAAAGACGUUAAAAAGACCCUUUUGCCCCUGGGUCACGGUGAUCCGUCCGUCUACCCUUGCUUCAAGACUUCCGUUGAUGCUGAGGAAGCCGUUGCUGAGUCCCUACGAUCUGGCGCCGCCAACUCCUACGCCCCCGGGGUUGGUAUUUUACCGGCCAGGAGGUACUUAAGUAGUCACUAAUUGUUAUGUUAUGCAUAUGCUUCAUUUUAAAAACUUUAGUGGCUUAGAAAUAGUUAUCUCGUUAUUGGUCGGUUGGUCGGGUAAUAGAGCAAAGAAAACAUGCUAAUAGAAACAUUUUCAAAACUAAAUUAAUGUGGUAAAAAAUCUAUCGAUUAGAAAAAUAGUGUGAAGUGUAAAAUGUCAAUGAAGAACGACUUGAAAUUAUAUAUGAAGUCUUAUAUACGAUUCAAAAGCUUUAUGACUUUAUGAGAUAUUACACUUUUAUGAGGUAUUACACUAUGCAUGCUAUGCAUUUUCGAAACUAUACAUAACCUUUACAGCUAUUUUUAUACUACUAUUAAUUUAGGGCGGUGGCAAAUUAUUUGAACCGGGACCUUCCGCAUGAAUUAAAAUCAGACGAUAUAUUUAUGACGGUCGGGUGUUGCCAAGGGAUAGAGACCAUAAUUCAUGUUCUGUCCUGUCCCAAGUCGAAUAUCUUGCUCCCCAGUCUUAUCUAUCCUCUCUACUAUAGUCACGCUAUAUAUAGCCAAGUCGAGAUUCGCAAAUAUGAUCUCCUCCCUGACCAAGACUGGGAGAUCGAUCUCCAAGGCAUUGAAGUCAUUGCAGAUGAUAACACAAUCGCUAUGGUGAUAGCUAACCCUCACAACCCAUGUGGAAAUGUGUACACAUAUCAGCAUCUAAAGAAGGUGAAAUUGUAUACCUUUAAGUUAAUAUUCUUUUUAACUUCACUCUUUUUCUUUGUCAACCGCCCAUUUGGCUAACCAUAUUUUUGCCAAUUUCACUAUUAUUUAUGUUACAUUUUUAUAUGUAUGUAUGAGGGUCGGCUUACUAUGAAAGCCAACACAUAUGGACCUCCCCGGUCCAACUCUAAUUAAGUACAAUCAUUUUAAGCCCCUUAUAUUUUACAACAUAUAUUAUAUCAGAUUUAGAUUUAACCACAUCCUGUUACCAGUUAUUACAUUACAUGUCUUUGUUCAAAACACUAACUGAUAAUUAUUUUAAAGUUUUCAGAUUUUUUUUAUAAUAUUUUUGAAAAGUUAAUUAUAGGAGCUUUAAAAAGUUACCCAAGAACCCCUAAUAAUAUUUGAGCUGUCCUGUAGGUGGCUGAGAUGGCGAAGAAGCUAGGGAUAAUGGUUAUUUCUGAUGAAGUUUAUAAGCACACAAUAUAUGGAGAGAAUUCAUUUGUCCCGAUGGGGAUAUUCGCAUCGAUUGUUCCUGUGGUUACACUCGGAUCCGUUUCCAAGGGGUGGCUCGUCCCUGGCUGGAGAAUAGGUUGGAUGGCGAUGCAUGAUCCAAAUAAUGUUUUCAAAGCCACUGGGGUAGGGUUUUCAGUUUUGGAUCAUCCUUUGAUACUUAUUUAAUAUAUCUUCCUCUUGGACGUGAUAUAAUAAACGUUGUAGAUAUGUGACAGUUUGAACAUGUAACCAUAUCUUUUUUGCCAUUAAGGUCGUUGAAUCCAUCAAGGACCUUCUUAACAUAAGUCCAGAUCCAUCGACAAUUCUACAGGUUUGUACUCUCAAAUUUAUAUUAGAAUACACGAAGAAAACACAUGCAAUGAGUUAAAGGUAAAAUGUAAAAGAACUAGUGUGUUUCUUUUUUGAAAAAUAAAGAACUAAUGUGCUAUAAUUGAUAGGUUGCACUUCCAAAUAUCUUGGAGAAGACAAAGAAAGAUUUCUUUGAUAAGAAAAACUUAACAUUUAGGCAAAAUGUAGACAUGAUGUUCGAUGCCCUCAAGGAGGUUCCUUGCCUCGUUUGCCCUAAGAAACCUGAGUCGUGUGCUUACUUAGUGGUACCAAUUUCUUUUUAUACGUACAUAUUUUUUUUCUCUAAACAUUCUGAAUAAUCUUUAUAAGUAUAUACUAUAAUAUGCAAGCUCGCUGAUACUAUUUCCCUAAUCAUUUAAUCUUUUAAGGUUCUUAGCACACUUUUAUAAUUUUGAUAUUACUUUUUGUAACCAAAAUAUCAGUAUUAUUAUGAAUGGUACAUGUUCAUCAGAUCCUAUGUAAAAAAGUGUCACUACUCACUCACUAGUGACAAUCUAAUUUGUAUAUAUGGCAGACAAAAUUGGACCUAUCACUAUUGGAGGACAUCACAGACGAUGUUGAUUUCUGCAUGAAGCUGGCCCGAGAGGAGAAUCUCGUCCUUUUACCAGGUAAGCAUCACAAUUCACGUCAUCUAAGAUUUUGAAGUAAUUAUAAUGUUUUUUUUUUUUGAACAUGUAAUUAUAAUGUUUUUUAAUAAGAAGAAAUUAAAUCAUGAGAGAGAUGAGCUGAUCUGGAAUCUAAAUGCAGGAGAGGCAUUAGGCAAGAAGAAUUGGGUGAGAAUCUCGAUAGGAGUAGAGAGAUCAAUGCUAGAAGACGCUUUCGCGAGGCUCAAAAGCUUCGUCGCUCGCCAUGUCAAAUCACAAACCACAUAAGAUCAGCUUCAUUGUCGGAAACCUGAGACCCUAUCUUUCUACUGUUUUUGUAUUUCUCUAUUAAAUAAUUUCUCAAUAAAGAUUGAGACUUUGGAUUAUUGUCUGUGUGUGUGUGUGGGCGCGUAUGUGUAAGCAGCUAUGCUUGUCCAGUUCUCCGUUAGAAUGUCGUUUUAAUUAGUCGAGUCGAGUCAAAACAUGAUGGCGCGAGCUUAAUUACCAUCUUGGGUUUUAUGUAUGACGAGUUGGAAAUAAAUAUAAUAUUUGACGAUUAAACCUUUUACUCCUUCAAAAUAUUUUUAUGAGUUAACACAUAUUAAAUGAAUUUAAGUAUUUAUAACUAAUUAUAUUAUACUCCUUCCCUUCGUUUCAAUUUAGUUCUUUUUGUAAAGUAAUUUUUUUUAUUUCAAAAUAAUACUGUUUUAUAAAUUCAAAACAAAAUUAUUAAUUUUAUAUUUUAAUCUAUUUUAUAUUGGUUAAAAUGUGGUUAUAUGUAUUAGUAGUAAUGUUUUUAUUUAGUAAAUAUACAAAAUUAAAUGUUUUACUAAUUUGAAUGCAAAGUUUAAAAUGACAAUUAAAACGAAACGUAAGAAAUAUUAACAAAUAAUACACAGUUUUUAAUACAUAUCGAUCAACAAAAUUAAAUUAAAUUAGAUUUUAAUGUAAAGUAUAUAAUUCAUUAAUAUAAAUUAAUAAAAUAUUUUACUUUUGUGAAACAAUAAAAAAGUUAAAAAAAAAUUACUUUAAUAAGUUGUAAAGUAGGUGAUAAAUAAAUAUCAAACCACAACAGGACACGUGACAGGUCCAUCAUACACCGCAAAGCAGUUGAUAAACACUCUCGUCCAUCUUGGGAGAAAGGGAAGGCAUCGUCGUCGUCUCUCUUUAUAAACCCUAAAAAGUACAUCGAUUCCUCCAUUAGGGCGAACGCGAAAUCUAAAAUUAGAGAGCGAUGGCGAGUACAGCAGCUGCGACGGGAACGACGACGGCGAAGAGAAAACCUGUGUUUGUGAAGGUUGAGCAGCUGAAGCCUGGAACGACCGGUCACACAUUGACUGUCAAGGUCGUUGACGCCAAUCCUGUGGUUCCGGCUGCGAGGAAGGCUCGUCCGGGGAGUUCUAUGGGUCGUCCGUCUCAGCCGAGUCGAAUCGCUGAGUGUCUCAUCGGAGACGAAACCGGGUGUAUUCUCUUCACUGCUCGUAACGAUCAAGGUUACUCACACUCCUAGUCUUUUUCUUACAUGAUGUGGAAAUGGUAUUUGUCUUAUUGAUAAAGUCUGAUCCUUUAGGUUCUUUAAUGCACAUCUGUCAAUGUUUAGACUUGUAAGAUAAAACAGGUGAUGUGUCUUGUGUUGAUUUUUGGACAUAUAUUGCAAAAAGCUGUCAUCUUGUCUGAAAAUCUGCACAAGACUAGUGUUUUGUCUUUCGUCUUUGCUGAUUAAGUGAUGUCUUUGUGCAAUUUAAGAGGCUUUGAGGUUUCUCUGUAAUAUCAUCUUGCUUGGUCAGAUGUUGAGUUAGAUGUUAUAACAUGACUCCAAGACUUACAUAGCUUUUCCUGUAAAAAAAGUUUGUUUUUGUGCCAGUUAUUGUGGAAUCCCUGUGGCUUAGUGAUUAGAUUGAUUUCUUUCUUUUGUUUGUUUGUGUGUAUAGUUGAUCUUAUGAAGCCGGGGGAAACAGUGAUAGUGCGCAAUUCGAGGAUAGACAUGUUCAAGGGUACAAUGAGGCUAGGGGUUGAUAAAUGGGGACGCAUCGAAGCCACUGAGCCUGCUUCUUUCACAGUCAAAGAGGAUAACAAUCUGUCUCUUGUUGAAUACGAACUGAUUAACGUUACUGAUCAGUGAAUGUCGUUUAGUAUCUUUACAAUGAGGCUAGUAUUUGGUUCUGAUUCUUCUAUCGUUAAUGUCUUUUGAUUUAGAUGAUGAAGCUUUUGUAUUACUGGUUCAGAUAUGCUUUCUUUUUUUUACCUUAAAACAUGAUCCCAGAAUCUCGCUUAUUGAUCGAGGCAAUGGCAAUGGUAUUGUUCCCUUGAAUCUGUUGAUGUUGUGUUAAAAACCAUUGAGAGCU
RNAcentral lists this long non-coding RNA (6335 nucleotides) under Brassica napus (rape). Its description in RNAcentral is "long non-coding RNA (BNAP_LNC020875)". The record is from RNAcentral. Lineage: Eukaryota; Viridiplantae; Streptophyta; Magnoliopsida; Brassicales; Brassicaceae.